CGCAGAUUUUUAAAAAUGCAUUAUUAUUAUUUUUUUCUGUUUCCAGGUUACAGAGGGACCAAACCUUCCUCAAACCCUGCUGAGAGAGCCAAAACAGCCAUUACAAGUGUGAGCACAUUCGAAAUGAAGCUCGCAGAUUUCCCAGAACUGGGUGAUUUCACACCCAGCAGCCCUGCAGGAGCUUCUCUGCACCAGGAACCGUCAGUUUGUGCUGGUGCAGUGAUGCCAGCAGAGCGUCAGACUUCACCAGCACCCCUUUAUAAGAAUGUACCAAAACGAAGAACCAAGUCAGCACAGCAAAUCUCGUCCAGUGGAAAAAGUGUGGGAAAGUGUGACUCAUCAUCAGUUGACCCAGCAGGUUUAGAUCAGGAUCCAGCAGUAUCCAAUCCCAGCGGGUCUUCAGCUCAAUCCUGGGCAAACAUCGCCUCUCAGCCUCCCAGAGUCAUCCAGAAAAUCUUCAAAGCCAACACAUCUUCUCAGGAGGAUUUAUCUGCACAGACAGGAGAGCAGAAAACAGAUAAGAAAAAGAGGAAAAGAAAGAAGAAAUCCAAGACUGCAUCUGACAACACAGAAGAGACACAGGAGGAACAUCUCAUUCAGCAAGAGCCUCCAAAGUUCGAGGAUGAAGAGGAGUUUCCAGAUCUUUCACUUGCAUUUGAAGUCAAAGGACAUUCGAUGUCUCAAAAAGAAGGAUCGUCUCUACAUUCGGAGAUGAAACACAAAGCCACUAAACCCUCUUCUGCCUCAACGGACACUAAGAAAACACAGCAGACGAGUCAGAAGAAGUCAAAAGUUCCAGUACAGCUCGACCUGGGAAACAUGCUGGCGUUUCUUGAGCAGAAGCAACAGUCGCAGAAAUCCAAACAAGACCAGCGACCGGUAACACUGACAGUUGGAGGAGCUCUGCCUGUCGUCCACAAAGAGCCUUCAGUCCAGAAGAAGCAGUGGCAGCAGGAGAAGACCCCGCACAACCCGCUGGACUCCACCUGUCCUUCAGUGAAGAAAGGAAAACAGAGAGAAGUCCCUAAAGCCAAAAAACCAACACCACUCAAACGAGUGAUUCUCCGGGAACGAGAGGAGAGGAAACAGAACCGGCUGCUUGAGGAAAGAGACCCGUCCCGUGUGGCCACAGAAGCGGGAGAAAAGGAGACCAGUGAAAACCCUUCUGAAGCGAGUCUGCCUGAGCAAGAACAUCUUGAGUCAAAUGCUGAUGACAAUGCUGAAGACAUUGGUGUUAAGGAUUCAGAGAUUGAGCAGCCUGCUUCACCUUCUGAUGACAAGUUGGACGACGGCUUGUCAGAGAAUCCAACACUACAAACCGAGAUUCCCAAUUCCAAUCCCAUUUCCAAAGUUCCCAAAAUUCACAGCAGGAAGUUCAGAGACUACUGCAAUCAAGUGCUCAGCAAAGAUGUAGAUGAGUGUGUGAGCAACUUACUGAAGGAGCUGGUGAGGUUUCAAGAUCGUCUCUAUCAGAAAGACCCCAUGAAGGCCAGGAUGAAGCGCAGGCUAGUCAUGGGCCUACGAGAGGUGCUAAAACACCUCAAACUCAAGAAGGUCAAGUGUGUCAUCAUCUCGCCCAACUGUGAACGCAUUCAAUCAAAAGGUGGUCUAGAUGAGGCUCUUCACAAUAUCAUCGACACGUGUCGUGAUCAGAGCGUCCCGUUUGUGUUUGCCUUGUCGAGAAAGGCACUGGGCCGAUGUGUUAAUAAAGCCGUCCCGGUCAGCUUGGUUGGCAUCUUUAACUAUGAUGGCGCACAGGACCACUAUCACAAAAUGAUCGAGUUGUCAGCCGAGGCCAGGAAGUCCUAUGAGGUGAUGAUUGCAAAUCUGGAUGGCGAUUCGCAGGAGGAUCUACAGGAAGAUCAACAGGAGGAAGAGCCGCCGGGAGAAACUUCUGGAACAGAAGAGCCAGAGUACAUUAAAAUCUGGAAGAAAAUGCUGGAGAAAGGUUACAGCCACCCUUUCCUGAAUUUCGAGGACCAGUUUUCAUCCCUUUCCAUCGGUUCAGAGCAGCUUCUGGACGAUGAAGGAAGUUGAUGCAAGUACACAGAUUGAGACAGAGCGUCUGUUUGUUCGUUUGUGACACGGAAGCACAUUCCCACAGUGUUUGCAAGCCGGCAUGAGCCUCUAGCACUUUGAAAAGAUGUGUCAGGAAUAGCUUGAAGUACCAAAAUGUGCCUGUCAAGAGCGUUUUAUUCAUAAACAAAUGUUCCAGUGAUGUGGAAUGGUGUGUUAAAUCAAGAGGCAAUACAGCUGAAAAUAGAGAGCAGCCCUUGACUACAAAUAUUUUCUUAUAAAUAUAUAUCAUGAACUUCGUUUAAUGUUUCCAUAGUCCGAAUGGUGAAUAUUUUUGCAAGAUAGCUGAUAUCCCUCUAUUUCUAAUAAAGGAAGUGAAAUAGUU
Danio rerio (zebrafish) is the source of this 2401-nucleotide non-coding RNA. NCBI's taxonomy places the organism in Eukaryota, Metazoa, Chordata, Actinopteri, Cypriniformes, Danionidae. The record is from RefSeq and is a predicted model, not a curated record.